UACGUAGGGGCCUAGCGUUGUCCGGAUUUAUUGGGCGUAAAGAGCUCGUAGGCGGUUCGGUAAGUCAGGUGUGAAAUCUCCACGCUCAACGUGGAGGCGCCACCUGAAACUGCCGUGACUCGAGUCCGGUAGGGGAGUGUGGAAUUCCUGGUGUAGCGGUGAAAUGCGCAGAUAUCAGGAGGAACACCAGUGGCGAAGGCGGCGACCUGGACAGAUACUGACACUCAACUACGAAAGCGUGGGGAGCAAACAGG
RNAcentral lists this ribosomal RNA (254 nucleotides) under uncultured bacterium. RNAcentral describes it as "partial 16S ribosomal RNA". It matches the Rfam family "Bacterial small subunit ribosomal RNA", at positions 524 to 776 of the family's 1533-position model. The record is from RNAcentral.